UACGGAGGGGGCUAGCGUUGUUCGGAAUUACUGGGCGUAAAGCGCACGUAGGCGGCUUUGUAAGUUAGAGGUGAAAGCCCGGGGCUCAACCCCGGAAUUGCCUUUAAGACUGCAUCGCUUGAACGUCGGAGAGGUGAGUGGAAUUCCGAGUGUAGAGGUGAAAUUCGUAGAUAUUCGGAAGAACACCAGUGGCGAAGGCGGCUCACUGGACGACUGUUGACGCUGAGGUGCGAAAGCCAGGGGAGCAAACGGG
RNAcentral lists this ribosomal RNA (253 nucleotides) under uncultured bacterium. Its description in RNAcentral is "partial 16S ribosomal RNA". It matches the Rfam family "Bacterial small subunit ribosomal RNA", at positions 524 to 776 of the family's 1533-position model. The record is from RNAcentral.